AACGUAGGAGACAAACGUUAUCCGGAGUUACUGGGCGUAAAGGGCGUGCAGGCGGUCUGUUAAGUCUGGCGUGAAAGCUCUCGGCUAAACCGGGAGAGGUCGUUGGAUACUGACGGACUAGAGGACGGUAGAGGCGUGUGGAAUUCCGGGUGUAGUGGUGAAAUGCGUAGAGAUCUGGAGGAACACCGGUGGCGAAGGCGGCAUCCUGGACCGGUAUUGACGCUGAGGCGCGAAAGCCAGGGGAGCAAACGGG
Molecule: ribosomal RNA, 253 nt
Filed under: uncultured bacterium
Lineage: Bacteria
Description: partial 16S ribosomal RNA
Rfam family: Bacterial small subunit ribosomal RNA
Source: RNAcentral